Molecule: ribosomal RNA, 875 nt
Filed under: Serratia sp. (in: enterobacteria)
Lineage: Bacteria; Pseudomonadati; Pseudomonadota; Gammaproteobacteria; Enterobacterales; Yersiniaceae
Description: bacterial SSU rRNA
Rfam family: Bacterial small subunit ribosomal RNA
Source: RNAcentral
GAGCAUACCGGCAGCUCCCCAUGCAAGUCGAGCGGUAGCACAGGAGAGCUUGCUCUCUGGGUGACGAGCGGCGGACGGGUGAGUAAUGUCUGGGAAACUGCCUGAUGGAGGGGGAUAACUACUGGAAACGGUAGCUAAUACCGCAUAACGUCUUCGGACCAAAGUGGGGGACCUUCGGGCCUCACGCCAUCAGAUGUGCCCAGAUGGGAUUAGCUAGUAGGUGGGGUAAUGGCUCACCUAGGCGACGAUCCCUAGCUGGUCUGAGAGGAUGACCAGCCACACUGGAACUGAGACACGGUCCAGACUCCUACGGGAGGCAGCAGUGGGGAAUAUUGCACAAUGGGCGCAAGCCUGAUGCAGCCAUGCCGCGUGUGUGAAGAAGGCCUUCGGGUUGUAAAGCACUUUCAGCGAGGAGGAAGGGUUCAGUGUUAAUAGCACUGUGCAUUGACGUUACUCGCAGAAGAAGCACCGGCUAACUCCGUGCCAGCAGCCGCGGUAAUACGGAGGGUGCAAGCGUUAAUCGGAAUUACUGGGCGUAAAGCGCACGCAGGCGGUUUGUUAAGUCAGAUGUGAAAUCCCCGCGCUUAACGUGGGAACUGCAUUUGAAACUGGCAAGCUAGAGUCUUGUAGAGGGGGGUAGAAUUCCAGGUGUAGCGGUGAAAUGCGUAGAGAUCUGGAGGAAUACCGGUGGCGAAGGCGGCCCCCUGGACAAAGACUGACGCUCAGGUGCGAAAGCGUGGGGAGCAAACAGGAUUACAUACCCUGGUAGUCCACGCUGUAAACGAUGUCGACUUGGAGGUUGUGCCCUUUGAGGCGUGGCUUCCGGAGCUAACGCGUUUAAGUCGACCGCCUGGGGAGUACGGCCGCAGGUUAAA